UAUGCAAGGAUCCGACGGUUGAGAUUAAUUAUAUAUUACUAAAACUUUAAGCUAUAGUAUAGGUAGCAUGCAUGAGUGGUAUGGGUAGUAUAGGAUAUAAUUGGAAAGAUGUAAAAUAGCAUUGUUGAAAUAGAUCAAAUAUUUCUUAAUUAGCAUCUUCUUUCCUUUUUAUUCCUCUUCUCACUUCCAAUCGGUCGCUAGGGCUCCUCAUUUCCAAUCGGUUGCUAGGGUUGCACUGGGGCGGCCGCGAUGAUAUAAUACAAGAAUAACGUGAAUCAAGGGGAGUGGUACAACCUACAAAUGUCAUACUCGAGGCGACGGACACACAUAUAGGCAAACCUGAAUGAUUCGGUUAUGAAUGCUUACAUCCGAAUACUAAAAGCACAACCUAGUAUCAACGGAAGGGAAGAUGGAUAUGCCUAUCUAGAGACAACUUACAAUGCCAACAUGAUAUGUGGGGAUACCAUCGCUUCAUUACGAAAUAAUGAAGAAGGCAACUUCCGUUUAUAUCGCGACAUGGUCUUCUUUCCACUCAACAUUAAAGAUUGUCAUUGGUAUUUGGCGGUCAUUAAUGGUCGUAAGGGUGUCAUUCAGGUACUUGACUCCAAGGGGACUGCCACUCGCCGGCAACAACUACAUCAACUGUUGCAAGGGUUGCAGAACCGUAUGAAUCGCCUUGUAGACCUGCAAUUGAUCACAGCAUAUAGGUGGAAGGACACCCAAGUCAAAGAAUGGCUGGUCAUUGAAUGCAUCAAAAAGAAAAUUCAGAUUGACAACACAUCGUGUGGACUAUUCACGGUGAAAUUCAUGGAGCUUUGGACCGGAAACAAAUUAUCUUCCUUAUUCACAUAGAAGGAUAUGACUAAUUUCAGGCUCAAGCUAGCUGUCACAUUGGUUAACUAUGCGUGGAACAAAGUGAAAGGAAGUCCAGGAUACAAAGCUAGCAAUGCCGACGAGACGUACACGCUGGAAGACAAUGAAAAAUAGAUUACAUUUCAUUCUUUCUGUGUUUACUUCAUUAUCUAGGAUGAUCGAAUAUUCCAAUCAAAUCAUGGUCUUUGCA
Molecule: long non-coding RNA, 1063 nt
Organism: Setaria italica (foxtail millet)
Lineage: Eukaryota; Viridiplantae; Streptophyta; Magnoliopsida; Poales; Poaceae
Exons: 7
Source: RefSeq, a predicted model, not a curated record